UACGUAGGGGGCAAGCGUUGUCCGGAGUUACUGGGCGUAAAGCGCCUGCAGGCGGUCCAUUAAGUUCAGGGUGACAGUCAUCAGCUUAACUGGUGAAGUACUUUGAAAACUGGUGGACUUGAGAGCGAGAGAGGGACAUGGAACUCCGGGUGGAGCAGUGAAAUGCGUAGAGAUCCGGAAGAACACCAAAGGCGAAGGCAGUGUCCUGGCUCGUGUCUGACGCUCAGGGGCGAAAGCGAGGGGAGCGAACGGG
This 253-nucleotide ribosomal RNA is filed under the name uncultured bacterium. RNAcentral's name for it is "partial 16S ribosomal RNA". It matches the Rfam family "Bacterial small subunit ribosomal RNA", at positions 524 to 776 of the family's 1533-position model. The record is from RNAcentral.